UGCUCACAUGACUGUAAGUCGCUUUGGAUACAUGUGUCUGCUAAAUGACAUAAA
This is a non-coding RNA of Salmo salar (Atlantic salmon), 54 nucleotides long. The record is from Rfam. NCBI's taxonomy places the organism in Eukaryota, Metazoa, Chordata, Actinopteri, Salmoniformes, Salmonidae.